GAUGAACGCUAGCGGCAGGCUUAACACAUGCAAGUCGAGGGUAUAGUAGCAAUACUAGAGACCGGCGCACGGGUGCGUAACGCGUAUGCAAUCUACCUUUUGCAGGGGAAUAGCCCAGAGAAAUUUGGAUUAAUGCCCCAUAGUAUAAUGACUCGGCAUCGAGAUAUUAUUAAAGUCACAACGGCAAAAGAUGAGCAUGCGUCCAUUAGCUAGUUGGUAAGGUAACGGCUUACCAAGGCGACGAUGGUAGGGUCCUGAGAGGGAGAUCCCCACACUGGUACUGAGACACGGACCAGACUCCUACGGGAGGCAGCAGUAAGAAUAUUGGUCCAAAUGGACGCAAGUCUGAACCAGCCAUGCCGCGUGAAGGAUUAAGGU
Molecule: ribosomal RNA, 378 nt
Filed under: uncultured bacterium
Lineage: Bacteria
Description: bacterial SSU rRNA
Rfam family: Bacterial small subunit ribosomal RNA
Source: RNAcentral